CUGCUGCCAGUUAAACUGAGCAGGUCCUUUCUUGAUGGGGCCUGGUGUGCAGUGGCCACAGACAGCAGUGUCCUGAAGAGCACGUUUGUUGCCUGAAUGGGCUGCCCUGAGGGGUCCUGGGGACAGUC
This 128-nucleotide small nucleolar RNA is filed under the name Mus caroli (Ryukyu mouse). Its description in RNAcentral is "predicted gene, 24992 (MGP_CAROLIEiJ_G0036632.1)". It matches the Rfam family "Small nucleolar RNA SNORA70". From Rfam's summary of the family: snoRNA U70 seems to be exclusive to mammals and is a member of the H/ACA class of snoRNA which contain H (ANANNA) and ACA box motifs. Lineage: Eukaryota; Metazoa; Chordata; Mammalia; Rodentia; Muridae. The record is from RNAcentral.